RNAcentral lists this ribosomal RNA (593 nucleotides) under uncultured bacterium. RNAcentral describes it as "bacterial SSU rRNA". It matches the Rfam family "Bacterial small subunit ribosomal RNA", at positions 915 to 1509 of the family's 1533-position model. The record is from RNAcentral.
GGGGGCCCGCACAAGCAGCGGAGCAUGUGGUUUAAUUCGACGCAACGCGAAGAACCUUACCUGGGCUUGACAUGUGCCUGACCGCCCUGGAAACAGGGCUUCCCUUCGGGGCAGGUUCACAGGUGGUGCAUGGCUGUCGUCAGCUCGUGUCGUGAGAUGUUGGGUUAAGUCCCGCAACGAGCGCAACCCCCGUUGUAUGUUGCCAUCAUUUAGUUGGGGACUCAUACAAGACUGCCGGUGACAAACCGGAGGAAGGUGGGGAUGACGUCAAGUCAUCAUGCCCCUUAUGUCCAGGGCUACACACGUGCUACAUUGGCCGGUACAAAGGGUUGCGAUACCGCGAGGUGGAGCGAAUCCCACAAAGCCGGUCUCGGUUCGGAUUGGAGGCUGAAACUCGCCUCCAUGAAGGUGGAGUUGCUAGUAAUCCCAGAUCAGCAACGCUGGGGUGAAUACGUUCCCGGGCCUUGUACACACCGCCCGUCACACCACGAAAGCGGGCAACACCCGAAGCCGGUGACCCAACCCUCGGGAGGGAGCCGUCGAAGGUGGGACUCGUGAUUGGGGUGAAGUCGUAACAAGGUAACCGUAAGGGC